UAGUCCACGCCGUAAACGAUGGACACUAGUUGUUGGGGAAUAUCUCAGUGACUAAGCGAAAGUGAUAAGUGUCCCACCUGGGGAGUACGAUCGCAAGAUUGAAACUCAAAGGAAUUGACGGGGGCCCGCACAAGCGGUGGAGCAUGUGGUUUAAUUCGAUGAUACGCGAGGAACCUUACCAGGGCUUAAAUGUGGAAUGACAGGGCUAGAGAUAGCUUUUUCUUCGGACAUUUCACAAGGUGCUGCAUGGUUGUCGUCAGCUCGUGCCGUGAGGUGUCAGGUUAAGUCCUAUAACGAGCGCAACCCCUAUUGUUAGUUGCUAGCAGGUAAAGCUGAGGACUCUAGCGAGACUGCCGGUGCAAACCGCGAGGAAGGUGGGGAUGACGUCAAAUCAUCACGGCCCUUACGUCCUGGGCUACACACGUGCUACAAUGGUAUGGACAAUGAGCAGCCAUCUGGCAACAGAGAGCGAAUCUACAAACCAUAUCAC
This 490-nucleotide ribosomal RNA is filed under the name uncultured bacterium. Its description in RNAcentral is "bacterial SSU rRNA". It matches the Rfam family "Bacterial small subunit ribosomal RNA", at positions 791 to 1289 of the family's 1533-position model. The record is from RNAcentral.